GUCGAGGGGUUAAUGCUCUGGAAGACGGAUGAAAAGGCACUGCCCGAGAAGCGGGGUGAAGACAGCGGGAAGCUCAUGCUCACAGGCCGCUCUGUAACUGAAAGAAGCCACAUGGAAGGGAGGGAAAGCGGUUUCAGGCAUGAACCAUGGACCACAGAGAAGCCACUGGAGCCUGGGGAGAAGCCACCAGGCCACUUGGAAGAAGGCAAGUGGUCCCCAGGUUACCUCUCAUCAGGCCCGGGACAGCCCUGCCCCGCUUCUUCAGCUCCCCGAAGCAGCCGUCGCAGACCUUGGCCAUCCUGUCCUUCAGCAACAGAAUUGGCUGAGUAAUGUGGAAUGUGGCCAGGAGACCAGCCAGAUGCAGAGCCCAGUGAGCCCUGCCCUGCGUCUCUGUGCAGGGUGUGUGAUGUGUGGCUUCCCAGACAGUCAUCCAACAGGCACUUUCCAAGUCCCUGCUCUGCACCAGGGAGGGCUUCCUGAGUGGCAAGAGCUACGCCUGGGCUGGGUGCCAGCUAGCUGGGUGAAGUUCUCACAGUGUCCACUAGAUGCCGCGCCUACA
RNAcentral lists this long non-coding RNA (559 nucleotides) under Homo sapiens (human). RNAcentral's name for it is "non-protein coding FGD5-AS1:18". The record is from RNAcentral. Lineage: Eukaryota; Metazoa; Chordata; Mammalia; Primates; Hominidae.